RNAcentral lists this transfer RNA (72 nucleotides) under Tessaracoccus flavescens. It matches the Rfam family "tRNA". Rfam says of the family: Transfer RNA (tRNA) molecules are approximately 80 nucleotides in length. Lineage: Bacteria; Bacillati; Actinomycetota; Actinomycetes; Propionibacteriales; Propionibacteriaceae. The record is from Rfam by way of RNAcentral.
GCCCUGGAAGCACGAAGGAUGUGUAGCCGCCUUCUAUGCGGUCGGGUGCCGGUUCGAGUCCGGCCCAGGGUG